Molecule: non-coding RNA, 29 nt
Filed under: Rattus norvegicus (Norway rat)
Lineage: Eukaryota; Metazoa; Chordata; Mammalia; Rodentia; Muridae
Source: RNAcentral
UCACCUCAUGUGAGUUCGUUGGCCAAUGC